GCCUUGGUAGUCUACUGGCUAAAACACUGUGCUCAAAAUGCAGGUGGCCUGGGUUUGAUUCCUGGUCAGGGAA
RNAcentral lists this transfer RNA (73 nucleotides) under Bos taurus (domestic cattle). It matches the Rfam family "tRNA". From Rfam's summary of the family: Transfer RNA (tRNA) molecules are approximately 80 nucleotides in length. Their secondary structure includes four short double-helical elements and three loops (D, anti-codon, and T loops). RNAcentral also lists the same sequence under 4 other names. The record is from Rfam by way of RNAcentral. Lineage: Eukaryota; Metazoa; Chordata; Mammalia; Artiodactyla; Bovidae.